Molecule: non-coding RNA, 1600 nt
Organism: Zootoca vivipara (common lizard)
Lineage: Eukaryota; Metazoa; Chordata; Lepidosauria; Squamata; Lacertidae
Source: RefSeq, a predicted model, not a curated record
GAACAAAUUCCUAUGCCCCACAAAUAACCCAGAGAUGCAUUUUAAAUAAAAGCACACAUUCUACUCAUGUAAAAACACCAGGCAGGCCCCACAAAUAACCCAGAGAUGCAUUUUAAAUAAAAGGACACAUUCUACUCAUGUAAAAACACACUGAUUCCUGGACCGUCCAUGGGCCGGAUUUAGAAGGCGAUUGGGCCAUGUACUAGACUAGAGCAAUAGUUUCCUAGCGACCAAGGUGUUAGCUGGGGAAAGGACAUUUGGGUGAUCCAGGAAGAGACUUGCUACUACGAAUAAUGUCAUCUACACCAUUCUUCCACAUAUGAGCAAGCCUGGUAAGGAGCAGGCCUAUUCAAAGAGAUUAGGGGCAGUAGAAAAUCCUGUUAGCAGCACAGAGUCAGUGGGAAAGGGAUCAUCCUUUAAUUGACAGCAUCUGCAAUGACACAAUUAACUCGGCUGGCCUCUGGCUCCCGCAGAUCGGUCCUGAAGAUUGAGAAUCCAUUCCAUCUGCUUUUGGCAGUGGCAUGUGAAUGUUCAGUACACUCUUUGUCCAACGCUAGUAAGCAGCGAACAAGCUUUGCCUGCAAAAGUGUGAAUGUGGCUACAUAACACAUUAGCAUCUUGGACUGCAGCGAGGUCAUCCCCAGCCCCCAGCCCCCCCCCUGCUGGGCUUCAAGUCACAUUUGUACAUUGCUGUGCACACCAAAGAGAUGUCUUUGCCUGAUGCUCAUUACCUGAGUUGUUUCCCUGCAAAUGCAGCGCCCCCUGGGCUCCAGUUCACUGAAGUUCUCAUCUGAGCAUGUGCAACAACAGCUGUCUGAAGUGUAUACACCUCAUCCGAGAUACAGCUUCCAUUUUCAAAUGGGAUGGAAGCAGGUGUGAAGGAAGAAACUUUGAACUGCAGUAUUUCUCAAGAAGCAACAGGGUAGAUAUGGAUUGUGGCCAAUGUCAUGUGUGCUCACCUUCAAACACCAGCAGUGGGAGUGUGCUAGAGUUAGGAGUCAACAGGAAUGUGUACACAACCUCUUGCUAGCUAAGCUCUUUCUGCUUCAGGGCAGAUGUUCUCUCAUUUGGGUGGUGCCUUGGGUUGGGCUGCUUUUCUCUCCUGGGUUUUAGAACAACUCAGCCUCCCUAAUCCAAUUUGUUUACUGUGUUAUCAGCUAAUCCCUUUCCCAGCUUCUCAGAGGAUUGCAUGGUAGCAGGAUAGCCAAGGACCUUGUUCUAACUAGCAGCGACAAUAGAUGACAAGGGAAGCCUGCGACUCUUGCUGCUCUCCCUACCUGCCCUCGGAGGAAGAACCACCCCCGGCAUGAGAGACAACAGGACCAUGAUGGCAUCCACGGCUCUUUAGCCUUUCUGCAGGUGGCAGGAUGCUGGGCUGGAUUGAGAAAGUCGUACCGCAACCUCCUGUCAGCUCCCCCAUCUCUGUAGUAGUGGAAAAAGACACACAGGCUGACCAAAUAGCUGUAGAAGCUGGGCCUGUAUCUGCAAGGCAGCUGACAGAAAGAAGUCCCAGGAUUGCUGCAGAAGGUAAGAAUUGGGGGUGAUGGGGAGGGGAAAGAAGAGUACGUGUGUAUAAGUGCUGGAGACAAGGCAGAGUUUG